GUGGGGAAUAUUGGACAAUGGGCGAAAGCCUGAUCCAGCCAUGCCGCGUGUGUGAAGAAGGUCUUCGGAUUGUAAAGCACUUUAAGUUGGGAGGAAGGGCAGUAAGUUAAUACCUUGCUGUUUUGACGUUACCGACAGAAUAAGCACCGGCUAACUUCGUGCCAGCAGCCGCGGUAAUACGAAGGGUGCAAGCGUUAAUCGGAAUUACUGGGCGUAAAGCGCGCGUAGGUGGUUUUGUAAGUUGGAGGUGAAAUCCCCGGGCUCAACCUGGGAACUGCCUCCAAAACUGCAUGACUAGAGUACGGUAGAGGGUAGUGGAAUUUCCUGUGUAGCGGUGAAAUGCGUAGAUAUAGGAAGGAACACCAGUGGCGAAGGCGACUACCUGGACUGAUACUGACACUGAGGUGCGAAAGCGUGGGGAGCAAACAGGAUUAGAAACCUUGUAGUCC
This 449-nucleotide ribosomal RNA is filed under the name uncultured bacterium. RNAcentral describes it as "partial 16S ribosomal RNA". It matches the Rfam family "Bacterial small subunit ribosomal RNA", at positions 354 to 796 of the family's 1533-position model. The record is from RNAcentral.